Molecule: long non-coding RNA, 630 nt
Filed under: Medicago truncatula (barrel medic)
Lineage: Eukaryota; Viridiplantae; Streptophyta; Magnoliopsida; Fabales; Fabaceae
Description: long non-coding RNA (MTRU_LNC000957)
Source: RNAcentral
AACCAUCACCUUGUCCACCCCCAUCAUCAACACCAAAACCACCUCAUCAUCCCAAACCCCCAGCAGUACACCCACCACAUGUUCCAAAACCACAUCCACCUUAUGUUCCAAAACCACCAAUUGUUAAACCUCCAAUAGUACAUCCACCUUACGUACCAAAACCCCCAGUUGUGAAACCACCACCAUAUGUCCCUAAACCACCUGUUGUGAGACCACCCUAUGUUCCUAAACCACCAGUUGUACCUGUAACACCACCUUAUGUUCCUAAGCCACCAAUUGUUUUCCCACCACAUGUUCCUCUACCUCCAGUUGUACCAUCACCACCACCUUAUGUACCAACACCUCCAAUUGUGAAACCACCAAUUGUUUUUCCACCACAUGUUCCUCUACCUCCAGUUGUGCCUGUAACACCACCUUAUGUGCAACCACCACCUAUUGUAACUCCACCAACACCAACACCUCCAAUUGUGACACCACCAACACCACCUAGUGAAACACCUUGUCCUCCACCACCACUUGUACCUUAUCCACCACCACCAGCACAACAAACAUGUUCCAUUGAUGCUUUGAAGUUGGGUGCAUGUGUUGAUGUGCUUGGUGGACUCAUACAUAUUGGUAUAGGUGGAAGUG